This 72-nucleotide transfer RNA is filed under the name Bos taurus (domestic cattle). It matches the Rfam family "tRNA". From Rfam's summary of the family: Transfer RNA (tRNA) molecules are approximately 80 nucleotides in length. Their secondary structure includes four short double-helical elements and three loops (D, anti-codon, and T loops). RNAcentral also lists the same sequence under 5 other names. Lineage: Eukaryota; Metazoa; Chordata; Mammalia; Artiodactyla; Bovidae. The record is from Rfam by way of RNAcentral.
UCCCUUGUGGCUAAGUCGGUAAAGAAUCUGCCUGCAAAGCAGGAGACCUGGGUUUGAUCCCUGGGUUGGGAA